RNAcentral lists this ribosomal RNA (499 nucleotides) under uncultured bacterium. RNAcentral describes it as "partial 16S ribosomal RNA". It matches the Rfam family "Bacterial small subunit ribosomal RNA", at positions 28 to 507 of the family's 1533-position model. The record is from RNAcentral.
GACGAACGCUGGCGGCGUGCUUAACACAUGCAAGUCGAACGGGCCCGCUCUCUUUUUUGGGGGUGGGUUGAGUGGCGACCGGGUGAGUAUCACGUGAGUAACCUGCCCCCUGCUCCUGGAUAACUGCUUGAAAGGGCGGCUAAUACGGGGUGUGCCGGCUGGUCCGCAUGGGCCUGGUCGGGAUAGUUUCAUCUUCGGGUGUUUCGGUGGGGGAUGGGCUCGCGGCCUAUCAGCUUGUUGGUGGGGUGAUGGCCCACCAAGGCGGUGACGGGUAGCCGGCCUGAGAGGGUGGGCGGCCACACUGGGACUGAGACACGGCCCAGACUCCUGCGGGAGGCAGCAGUGGGGGGUAUUGCACAAUGGGCGGAAGCCGGAUGCAGCGACGUCGCGUGAGGGAUGGAGGCCUUCGGGUGGUGAACCUCUUUCUCCGGUGGUGAAGGCCCUGUCCGUUGCGGCGGGGUUGACGGUAGCCGGGUAUGAAGCGCCGGCUAACUACGUG